UGCCAGCCGCCGCGGUAAUACGGGGGGGGCAAGCGUUGUUCGGGAUUACUGGGCGUAAAGGGCGCGUAGGCGGACGGGACAGUCUUUCGUGAAAUCCCACGGCUCAACCGUGGAAUUGCGGGAGAUACUACUCGUCUUGAGUUCGGGAGAGGAGUGUGGAAUUCCCAGUGUAGCGGUGAAAUGCGUAGAUAUUGGGAGGAACACCGGUGGCGAAGGCGGCACUCUGGACCGAUACUGACGCUGAGGCGCGAAGGCGUGGGUAGCGAACGGGAUUAGAUA
This 279-nucleotide ribosomal RNA is filed under the name uncultured bacterium. Its description in RNAcentral is "partial 16S ribosomal RNA". It matches the Rfam family "Bacterial small subunit ribosomal RNA", at positions 506 to 784 of the family's 1533-position model. The record is from RNAcentral.